CCAGUCGUCCGAAGAAAUUAGACCAAAAUUUGACUGGCGAAAAGAAGUCAACCCGCUGUUUUCAUAGGGUAUUUCUCACUUCUCUGUGAAAGGAAAACACACCCAAGCCCAGAGCCCUCCAGCGUCCGUGGGAGAUUCCACCGUGAAGUACAGGCGGAGACCACGUGAGCAGUGCGCAGUGAAUGUUUUCCCUACAAGACUUGCAAAGAACAAGAUGCUACACAAACUCUCAGAGAGAAAAACCAUUAACACUAAGAAGAAAAAAUCCCACUGAA
This is a long non-coding RNA of Tupaia belangeri chinensis (Chinese tree shrew), 275 nucleotides long. RefSeq lists it as uncharacterized. NCBI's taxonomy places the organism in Eukaryota, Metazoa, Chordata, Mammalia, Scandentia, Tupaiidae. The record is from RefSeq and is a predicted model, not a curated record. The transcript is spliced from 3 exons.